GAGUUUGAUCAUGGCUCAGGACGAACGCUGGCGGCGUGCCUAAUACAUGCAAGUAGAACGCUGAAGAGAGGAGCUUGCUCUUCUUGGAUGAGUUGCGAACGGGUGAGUAACGCGUAGGUAACCUGCCUGGUAGCGGGGGAUAACUAUUGGAAACGAUAGCUAAUACCGCAUAAAAUUGAUUAUUGCAUGAUAAUUAAUUGAAAGAUGCAAUUGCAUCACUACCAGAUGGACCUGCGUUGUAUUAGCUAGUUGGUGAGGUAACGGCUCACCAAGGCGACGAUACAUAGCCGACCUGAGAGGGUGAUCGGCCACACUGGGACUGAGACACGGCCCAGACUCCUACGGGAGGCAGCAGUAGGGAAUCUUCGGCAAUGGGGGGAACCCUGACCGAGCAACGCCGCGUGAGUGAAGAAGGUUUUCGGAUCGUAAAGCUCUGUUGUAAGAGAAGAACGGGUGUGAGAGUGGAAAGUUCACACUGUGACGGUAUCUUACCAGAAAGGGACGGCUAACUACGUGCCAGCAGCCGCGGUAAUACGUAGGUCCCGAGCGUUGUCCGGAUUUAUUGGGCGUAAAGCGAGCGCAGGCGGUUAGAUAAGUCUGAAGUUAAAGGCUGUGGCUUAACCAUAGUAUGCUUUGGAAACUGUUUAACUUGAGUGCAGAAGGGGAGAGUGGAAUUCCAUGUGUAGCGGUGAAAUGCGUAGAUAUAUGGAGGAACACCGGUGGCGAAAGCGGCUCUCUGGUCUGUAACUGACGCUGAGGCUCGAAAGCGUGGGGAGCAAACAGGAUUAGAUACCCCGGUAGUCCACGCCGUAAACGAUGAGUGCUAGGUGUUAGGCCCUUUCCGGGGCUUAGUGCCGCAGCUAACGCAUUAAGCACUCCGCCUGGGGAGUACGACCGCAAGGUUGAAACUCAAAGGAAUUGACGGGGGCCCGCACAAGCGGUGGAGCAUGUGGUUUAAUUCGAAGCAACGCGAAGAACCUUACCAGGUCUUGACAUCCCUCUGACCGCUCUAGAGAUAGAGUUUUCCUUCGGGACAGAGGUGACAGGUGGUGCAUGGUUGUCGUCAGCUCGUGUCGUGAGAUGUUGGGUUAAGUCCCGCAACGAGCGCAACCCCUAUUGUUAGUUGCCAUCAUUCAGUUGGGCACUCUAGCGAGACUGCCGGUAAUAAACCGGAGGAAGGUGGGGAUGACGUCAAAUCAUCAUGCCCCUUAUGACCUGGGCUACACACGUGCUACAAUGGCUGGUACAACGAGUCGCAAGCCGGUGACGGCAAGCUAAUCUCUGAAAGCCAGUCUCAGUUCGGAUUGUAGGCUGCAACUCGCCUACAUGAAGUCGGAAUCGCUAGUAAUCGCGGAUCAGCACGCCGCGGUGAAUACGUUCCCGGGCCUUGUACACACCGCCCGUC
Molecule: ribosomal RNA, 1405 nt
Filed under: uncultured bacterium
Lineage: Bacteria
Description: bacterial SSU rRNA
Rfam family: Bacterial small subunit ribosomal RNA
Source: RNAcentral